UGUCAGCUCCUGGGUAGGUGAGUUAUCAGCUCCGUGGUCUCACAGUAUGGUGGCCCAGCAGAAGGUUUUGUGUUGCACAGGGUUGCCUUGUGCUGCCAAUUACCCAAGGCUCUGGACAGCAAGCUGUACGGCAGUGUGAUUAAGUCCGUGUGCAAGUCCAAAUUUGCAUAACCCCAAAACUCCUGUUAGGAAAGUAUUGCGAAGAAUAUUUGACUCGUCCUCGCCCUACGUUUUCAAAAUAUAAAAUAAAAGUGUGAUCAUCUUUUUAUUUUUAUCAUUUGAACAACUUUGUGAAUUACCUUUGAGAUGCAGAGGAAUAGUACACUAUGGAAAAACUUAGCUAAAUACAUACCAAAAGUGGUGUUUUCACACAGCUCUCGUCUUUCUUUAACACGGAGUGCAAAUUCUCUUUGUCUAACACAGUGGCUCAGCUCCCCACCAGCUGCAGAGCUGGGAAUCUUUGGUGGAGUCAGUGGGAUUAUGCCAAUCCACGCCAGUUGAGGACCUCAUCUGCCUCGCUUCAAAGUCGUGUGUUUUCAGAAAUGAGUGGACACAUUCCUGUAGGAGAAAUCCACGGAAUGCUGUUGAGCAAAAAGACGCUGCCUCUGAUGUAGGAUGUUCUCGCACUGGUUGCUGGAGAUGGGGAAACAUCUGGGCAAAACAAUGUUUCUGUGGGUUUUGUGGUCAUUCUUGAGUGGGUGCUAUUACUGUUAGACACGUAGCGUACACAGCUUUAGCUUGGCUUGCUGAGUUCCCUCUCACAUACUUUCUGAUUUUGCUGUUGUGGCUACUGGCACUGGUUUUGGGACAGCUCUCCAGUCUGCUGCAUGAGUUUUAUAGUCUUGGUAUUUCACAGUUUCACAGGUGUUAAGAUGUCAGCACAAUGUCACCAGCAGCUGUUCUUUACGUACAAAGGGACUGCACCGAUGGGUAGUGUGAUAUGGUGGGGCAGAACAUGGUCUGAGGAGCCAAGCAGAGUGACAUCCACGUCCAGAGGUACCUGGCUUAGCAUGACAGAGGGCACAGCAUCGUGCAGAUAAAAUGUGCUGGCUGCCCCCCUUUUCCAGGAGCAUCACCACCAUCACAGUGCCACUGCUCUGCAAGCACAGCAAGCACCGGGUGCUGGCCCAGCUUUGGAAGGACUGUGUGUAGGGAGAUGCAGCAAUGUUCAGUUUUCACUUCCCUAAAGGUGCUCCUGCUCAUUUUUCCCCUCCUUUUCCUACAAGUGCUUUGCCUGUACUCCACUGAGAAGACUUCAGAUGCAGCAUGGUUAAUACAGGUUUGGUCUGGUGUAAACCUUACCACAGUCAGCUCCCGCGUUCCUUAUUUCCAUUUCUACACAGGUGGGAGCUUGGAAAAGUCAUUUGACUCCCUUGCUUCAAUGUAGCUUUAACUAAAACAGCAUUUUACCUGGUGGCCUACCUUUCAGUGUACAGAACAAGUCUGUUGUGAGUGGUGCUGGAGCAAUUCACAGGCCCUCAGUGCAACAGAUGCUGUCGGUGAAUGGAGGAGCCUGGAAUUUGUGAGUUGGUCUUUCGAGCCAGCUGCUACGUGACGCAACAGGAGCAGUUCCUUUAAAGGAGAAACCAACACCGGGAUGCUGUCCAGAAGGCUUCACGUCUCUUUCUUUCACUGGCAUACGAAGCAGCUCUGCAGAAUGUCCACGCAAGAGUGGCUGGAUGUAACCCCUGGCAAGAUGUUCUCCGUUUGCUUGUCCUGUUGGAGAAGGGAGCCAGAUGAGCCUGUCCUGCUGGACUAAUCCUGCCUUGGCUUCGCUGCCUCCUGUUGAAUGUGCCAGAGGCAGCGUCCUCGCUGAGUUCUGCGCUGCGGGCUCACCUCUGCCCUUCCUGGAGACGAGGCAGCGGGGAGAACAGGAGUCCCAGCCCACGCAGCCAGACUCGGGAUGCUGCCACGUUGGAGCAGUUAGGAAGCAGCAGCGUUGCCGGCCCGUUAGUCUGAGCAUAGCAGCGAGCAAAGCCAGUUCAGUCAGUAGCUUCCUCGUGCAUAUUUCUGCUGGUAUUUAGAAAGAGAGGGAUGAAAGAGACCAGGAUCCAAACCUGCACGGUGUUGGUCACUGCAGACCUUUGUGCCAUCCAUGGACGUGAAGCAGCGUUGGGCCAGGAGCAACACACACAGGGCAGUGACCACAGGCAGGAAGCUUGGUGAUGGGAACCUCUCUGCUCUUGGCCCAGGCAGCUGCUCCUGCUGGCUUCUGGACUUAAGACUUGAGUCUUCAAAAGGUCCCUUCCUGAAGCAUUGUGAGGCUCCCAAAGGUGAAUAUUAAUGAGCAGCGGUACCUGGGCUCCUCGGCACUUUAAUUACAGGAUUUCACACAAAAAGGUACCAGCAUUAUACAUUGCGAUCUUGCUGUGAAGCAAACAGUCCAUCGUAUUGCACGCCAAGCCCCUAAGAAAACCAAUGAACCCAGAUUAUGCUAAAUUGUGUGGAAGCAAAGAAGAAAACAUGGUGCCUUCCUCGGCAAGCUUACUCUGUGCAUGUAAAAGAGAACCAUCAAGAGAGCAGCUCUGCUGGUAUGAAGAUGGGAGGAGAUGAGCCAGGAGGGGAUCUGGAGGAGCUCUCUGCAGUCGCAGCGUGGUGGAAAGGCUGCAGUGCUCCUUGCAUUGGGUACGGUGAGUGCUUUGUCGUGGAGGUGUGUGCAAGUUUCACCUUGGUGUUGCUCCCAUACAGCACUGACUGUAAAUGUUAUUCUUACUCUUGUUUGGACUCACGUCUGAUGCUUCCACACCAAGAAGUAGGCACUAAUUCCAGAGAGAGUCCCACAUUUGCAGGUCUUCAGGUUAGCAUACUGAGUGCACCAUUUCAACUUACAAGCGUUUACCAUUUUAAGUGGAAUUUUCUUUAUAUGGACAAAUAUUUUCUGGCCUCGACACCGCUGACAAAUGAUGACAGAUAGAAAGACUUAUAAUAGAAGUAAGCAAGUGCUAUGACAUCUUCAGGGUAAUUUGAAGUGAAAAUAUUCAGACCAUUAGUAAUAACUUACAGGUAAAAUUAUUACACAAGUAUAUUACGAGCAAGAUUACAUUCAGUAUUAAUCACAGAGAGUAAGUACAUACAGCUAUCUUGUUGCUCCUGCCCUGGCAUUUAAUGACAUUUUGAUAUACAUAACGUAUGAACAACAAAUGUGUAAAAGAAAAUCAUUGAUAUACAGAAGAGGAAUUACCACGGUGAUGGGUAUGUGGCACAUAAAGAAGGAAACUUGAAUUCUCCAAGAAAGCAACUGCGCUCUAUCAGGUAAAAUACUGUCAAAUAACAUGAAAAUUUCAGCUUGAUUGCCUAUAACAAAAAAAAAAAAAGGUUUUCAGAUGCUAUGGAAUUCUAUCAGACAAGCUUAA
Anas platyrhynchos (mallard) is the source of this 3353-nucleotide non-coding RNA. NCBI's taxonomy places the organism in Eukaryota, Metazoa, Chordata, Aves, Anseriformes, Anatidae. The record is from RefSeq and is a predicted model, not a curated record.